AUACAGGGGGUGCGAGCGUUAAUCGGAAUUACUGGGCGUAAAGAGUACGUAGGCGGUUGCUUAAGUCAGAUGUGAAAGCCCCGGGCUCAACCUGGGAACUGCAUUUGAAACUGAGUGACUAGAGUUUAAGAGAGGGGAGUAGAAUUCCGGGUGUAGCGGUGAAAUGCGUAGAGAUCCGGAGGAAUACCAGUGGCGAAGGCGGCUCCCUGGCUUAAAACUGACGCUGAGGUACGAAAGCGUGGGUAGCAAACAGGAUUAGAAACCCUUGUAGUCCC
RNAcentral lists this ribosomal RNA (275 nucleotides) under uncultured bacterium. Its description in RNAcentral is "partial 16S ribosomal RNA". It matches the Rfam family "Bacterial small subunit ribosomal RNA", at positions 523 to 797 of the family's 1533-position model. The record is from RNAcentral.